UAUUUUUAUUCGACACUAAAAAUCCAGAGUUUUAUAAACAUGUAUGUGAGUUUUAGAUUAAAAGAAAACGCAAAGUACGUAGUGUGAACACAUUUAUGAAUAUAGUGUGAACGCGUUAACAUACUUAUUAUCAAAUCAUUGUGAAGCUGUCACGUGUCUAUUAUAGUGUGAAUGCAUUUAUCACGGUGUUUCUCAUAUAUAAGGGAUUUUAGUUUGGUAUAUGGGAAUGUCCGGUACAAAUCGGUUUACCACAUUGGAUUAUAAAAAAAAAUGGACGAGGAUUCACAAAGCAUAUACUAUUGUAUGAUAGAUUUCUUAUGACCUUUUUAGACCAUAUAAGCAUAUACUAUUGCAUGAAAGACCAUUAAAACUGUAUCUAUCAAAGCUGAAGGAGAUAUACAGAGACCAAGUAAACAUUACCCAAAGCUAUUGGGCUUAGAAAACAGUCAACCCAAUAGAGAAUGUAAAACUAGGCUCAAUAAAAAGCCCAAUGGAUUUAUCAGCACCAACUGGCGACGUCUCCGUCUGACCGUCCUCCUGUAAUAAGAUCACCGGAGACGCCGUAGAACAGUCAGAACCACGAGAUAGAGGACAUUAUGGCUUGUGAGACGGAAUCGGAAGCUGGCCUGCUCCCAUGUUUGCCAGCUAGAGAGCUACCACUAUCCUCAUCCUUGUUAUCAAAGUCAGUCCAUCUUCUACUCUCGAUCUUGACCUCGAACGAUCUCCCUUCAUGGUUGGCCUUUGAUCAUUUCAAGUUUUAGUGUGAAAGGCAUUGCCUUGGCUUCUUGUUUGGUGAUUGAUUGAUAGUAAUGGAAGUUGUGAGUUUUCUGCUGAAGAAUAUGUCAUUUUAGAUACGCUCACUUGCUUAACUUAUCAAUGUUAUCAUCUUUAGUGAUCAUAACACAACGCAUUGAUCCUAUCGAUGAUCAUCGAGGUUGCCUGCUGAUCAAUGAUGAUGCACUGUGAUAUUUAUAUCCUCUCGUUGAACACUGUAGUUGAUGUUGAGCGUCACGCCAGAGAUUUCAUGGAAGUUGCAGCUUUAUUUUAUUGGAUUGAAGCGAGAAGAUCACGAUCCCGCAAGUGCUGAAAGUCUCAGGAAGUAAUGGAGGACAAGCUUAACACCAAGGAGGAGCUCACAAAGAAGCACACAAGGUUUAUCCAAGAAUCACAUAUUCAAGUGAAAGAACAGAUUGAGAAACAGAGUGGAGGAGCUGGAAUAAGUAUAAACAUCAAGCAAAGUCUCAAUAGUAAAUAAACGUAACUCAACUACUUAUUUAUUUCUUAUUAUACAUUGCAAGAGUAAUGCAGAGAAAGAGGGAUUCCAUAUGCAAAUCCACAUCCCUUACAACAAGUGCAGAUGCACUUAGUUAUUUCUUGUGUGGCUUUUCUCAGAGUCUUAUACAUUCAUUUACAUAGAAACAUAGAAGAAGCUUCCUACAGAUAAG
Molecule: long non-coding RNA, 1445 nt
Organism: Brassica napus (rape)
Lineage: Eukaryota; Viridiplantae; Streptophyta; Magnoliopsida; Brassicales; Brassicaceae
Exons: 2
Source: RefSeq, a predicted model, not a curated record